UGCUUAUGGUAUAAAAAAUUGACCUGCCAUCUUUUUCUUCUCUUCUCCUUUGCCGCUACCUGAUCUUGUCUUUUCACGUAAGCAACUAACCAAUGACCCUGAUGGUCCUGCUGCCUGCAAGAUCUUCUAAAUCCUGGUGUAGGACCUGAGUCUCUGCCUCUGCUUACUGCUGCUCUAAUGUGACUUUCCUAAAAGACCGAUCAGGAGAAAUCUCAGCUGCCACUCCAAAACCAUCUGUAACAACACUUGAUGCCACAGCUGGCUGGGCCCUGCUGCAGUGUGAGGUUCAUGGUGCUUCUCGAACAUCUGGAGUAGAGUGGAAGGACCGUGCUGGAAACAGACUUCCUGCUGAGGAGACACAGACCCCAGAAAGAGACCACUACUACAUCACUCUCAACACUACUGUGACUAAGACUGGCCACUACCGCUGUGUAGCAACACAGGAGGAAAUCAGCCAUCAGACUCACGCUGAGACCUUUGUUUAUAUCAGUGGGAAAGAGUGUGAUGACUUAUCUGGAAAAGUGGCCAUCGGUUUGUUUGGUGGAUUGGUUUUGGGAGCUCUGAUUCUUGCUGUAGUUCUAGCUCUGCUUAAAGUCGCAAAUAUCAUCACAAUACGCCGCAAUAGAGGUUCUCGUCAGCAGGGAAACUGUUUGGGCAACCAGGGAAACCGUUUGGGCAACCAGGGAAACGGUUCAUGCGAAGAGCGUUCAGAGAUGCUACAUCCAAACACUUUUCCUCGAAGUAGCACAAAUGAACAGCUCCCAGUGCUGUGUUAGCUUACAAGUAAGGUAAGCUCCGGAUGGGAAACAUUUUAUUUCCUGGGAUGGCGAAGGCAUUUUACUCUGCCUCUGAUUGGCUAGUACUUGUUGCCUUCGUUAGUUGGAUUGGUUAGGUUUAGGCAUGAGGAGUGUGAUUGGUUGAGGUACCAGAGUAAGCCAAUCAGAGGUGGAGUAAGGCAACUGCCAGUAUUUAUUUAUGUUUUUUUAACAUCUUUAUUUAGAACACAAAGAAUGAUUACAAUGACAAACUCAAUGUUUGAUAAUUCAAGUAGAAUUCGAUCAGUAAUACAGUCACACCUCCUAAACUGAAUAUUUUCAUUAAACAAUAUUCAUAAGUAUCCGUUGUAGGAAAUAACUUGUCAGUGAAUGAUGAUGAUCAUAGUAAAUUUGAUCAACCAGGCAAAGGGUUCAUGUGAAGAGCGUUCAGAUCUGCUACAUUCACAAACUGGUCGAUGACGUUAAGUCCGUUUUAAAGGUGUUUGUGUGUUUACUUGUACAUCUAUCUUUGUGAGAACCAGUUUGAAUUUUUGAAUUUGUGCGGUCCUCGCUUUCAGACAGACUCUGAAAUGCCUGUUUGAGGGCUCAGACCUGGUUUUAAGAUUCAGGUCAGAAUCAGGUUUGGGUUAAACAUUUACAUCUGAAGUUAGAUGUUAAGGAAUGCAUUAUGUGUGAAGUACGGUGUGUGUGUGUGUUUGUGUGUCUGUAAAUAAUGUUCAGUGUAAAUAUGCAAUCUGUUGCCUUAUAGGAGAUCUUUGUGAGACUUAUUAUGGUCUGUUGUUGGUUGGACCUACAGAGUGAGUUUGACCAUAUAAAUAUUACUUUAUAAUUUACAAAAACAAGAAAAAUCAACAAUAUGACAAUCUACACUCUGACAGAUCAACAAAAAUUUAAUAAGGUUUCACAAAGAUCAUAUUUAUUGCAGGGAUUUUUAUUUUAUGUCGCUGUAUGUCAACAUCAAGAAUUCAGCUCUCUGCAUGUUCCUUUUUUAUUGUUUUUUUUUUUUUUUGUAUUUGACCUUGUUUUAUUUUCCUGUAUCACCAUCUCAUCUCAUAUGUUCUCACAGUUGUAAAGUCUCUCCACUGGACUAUAGUUACAGACUUUAUAGCAGCUGAAUGAGCGAGAUGAAGCUCCAAAGAAACUCAACUAAACAGUGAAAAGUUACCAAAAUGAUAAUGAGAUGAAUGAAACCUUCAAAAAUCAUCACCUAUGUUAAAGUGGUAAUAAGAAGAAAAAUGAAGAAAAAAGAAACUCACCUGAUACAAUUAAAGUAACUUUAUUUUUUAUAUAUUGAUCCUCUGUUUUUGUUUUGUGACGCAGUUUGUAACAUGUUACAUGAAAAGGUCUAUGUAAAUAUCAUUAUUAUAAAUAUUAACUUCCUAUAGCUCAGAGGCUUAAAGGGAAAAGGACAGAACUAAAGCCCUCAAUAAUCAGGUGACCUGUGAGACCGACAGAUCUCAGAUCAGCUCUCAGGCUGACAUUAAAAUCUAUAAUAUUUAUGUAAUAUAACCUGUAGUUAAACUAUGGAGUUUAAAACUGGAGAAGAUAUCCUUAAUGAUAGGCUGGAGGAGUUUGAAAAGAUCUGGAGACCGAUGAUAUCAUUUAUGGAAAAGAUGAACGGUUAAGAUUCACCACGCAGGCAUCUAAGUGGCACUAUAUUGGGGUGGGAAGGGGUGGAUGGGCACUGUCAAGUUCCUGAUUUCUUUUUUAAAGUUUUUUUUAAUGUCAUUUUUUUUUUUUGUGUGUGUGUGUGUGUGGUUAUUGUUUUCAAUUACUUGUAUACCUAUGUUGUUUAUUUGUGUAAUGCUGGGGCAUUUACAUCUUUGUACGGUUUGUCUUGGUUCAGUAUUUGAAAAGAAGCAGGAUAUCCAUUCCACAACAACUGUAAUACUGUUGUUGUUAUGCUUCAUAAUAAAAAUAUUUAAAACAUUAAAACUGAAGAUGAGAAAACAAUCACAAAGCAACAAUUCUCUAAAUAAAUAACUAAAUAGGAUGCUGAGAAGUUAGUUAGUUGUUAGAUAACAUUAACAUUCUGAAUGGUCCCAUUGCUGUUAGGUAUUAUUGGAGCGUCUCCGGUGGUAGAGCGGUCGCCUACCAAUCUAAAAGUUGGUGGUUCAAUUCCUGCAUUUGGAGAUAAUGAUGGUCUGAUGAUUUCAUUGUAAAAAGAUAUUUAAGCUGAUUUUCUAUUUUUGUACUUUCUGUUGUGUGAAAUGUCUACACUGCACUCUGCUCUUUGUUGUAUGAAUUUACGGUGUCUUGUCGGCCCAUGCAGACUGGCCAUAGUUAUAUACAUGAAGUCAUGAUAAAAAUGUAAUUUAUUCAAUUAUUCUGAAACUCAAAGGAAGCUUGUGAAAUGAGGCAGUUAUGGUUGAUACUAUUUUCUCUUCCUCUAGAACUGGUUUAAAGUUCAGAAGUCUGAACAAGUUGUCAACUAGAGAGUGACUUUAUUCUGAAUUCUGAAUAAAGAACUCGCUUCCAUAUCAAUGACUAGAUAAUCAUUAUGAAGAUAUAGUUGUUGUGAUAACACCAACGGGUCAUAAUGAAAUCUACAACAAAAUUGUAAAGCACUUUGUAACAUAUGUUUUCUUAGUUAUUUUAUUAAAUUUUAGGCAUUCAAAUGCUGUCUUUAAAGCACAUGUGGGCAGCUGGCCAUAUAUAAUAUAUAAUUGCAUAUUGUUAUUCUUAAACUCCAAUGCAGCAUGUGAAAUGCUUUACUGUAUAUAAAAUAAAAUUAUAUAUUUUAAAAUGA
Perca flavescens (yellow perch) is the source of this 3525-nucleotide long non-coding RNA. RefSeq lists it as uncharacterized. The record is from RefSeq and is a predicted model, not a curated record. NCBI's taxonomy places the organism in Eukaryota, Metazoa, Chordata, Actinopteri, Perciformes, Percidae. The transcript has 5 exons.